UUCCGUAGGUGAACCUGCGGAAGGAUCAUUACAGAGUUCAAGCCCUCUAGGGUAGAUCUCCCACCCUUGUGUAUUAUAACGAAAUGUUGCCUUGGCGGGCUGCGCUCUGCUGCCCGGGAUUCGUCCUGGUAUGCCCGCCGAAGGACCCCUAAAUUCUGUUUAUUUAGUGUCGUCUGAGUACUAUAUAAUAGUUAAAACUUUCAACAACGGAUCUCUUGGUUCUGGCAUCGAUGAAGAACGCAGCGAAAUGCGAUAAGUAAUGUGAAUUGCAGAAUUCAGUGAAUCAUCGAAUCUUUGAACGCACAUUGCGCCCCUUGGUAUUCCGAGGGGCAUGCCUGUUCGAGCGUCAUUAUGACCAAUCUAGCCUGGCUAGGUGUUGGGCUUCGCGGUUCCGCGGGCCUUAAAGUCAUUGGCGGUGCUCUUCAGCUCUACGCGUAGUAACUUUCUCGCUAUAGGGCCUGGAGGGAUGCUGGCCAUCAACCUCAACUUUCUUAGGUUGACCUCGGAUCAGGUAGGGAUACCCGCUGAACUUAA
This is a ribosomal RNA of 534 nucleotides. The stretch from base 196 to 349 matches the Rfam family "5.8S ribosomal RNA".